UCGAGGAUCUUCGGCAAUGAGCGCAAGCUUGACCGAGCGACGCCGCGUGCGCGAUGAAGGCCUCCGGGUUGUAAAGCGCUUUAGGGGGGGAGAAAAGCCGAAAGGUGUGAUCUAUCCCCAAAAUAAGCACGGGCUAAGUUCGUGCCAGCAGCCGCGGUAAGACGAACCGUGCGAACGUUGUUCGGAAUCACUGGGCUUAAAGGGCGCGUAGGCGGGCUGUCAAGUCUGGGGUGAAAUGCUGCGGCUCAACCGUAGAACUGCCUUAGAUACUGACGGCCUCGAGGAAGGUAGGGGCAUGCGGAACUGUAGGUGGAGCGGUGAAAUGCGUUGAUAUCUACAGGAACUCCGGUGGCGAAAGCGGCGUGCUGGACCUUUUCUGACGCUGAGGCGCGAAAGCUAGGGGAGCAAACGG
Molecule: ribosomal RNA, 412 nt
Filed under: uncultured bacterium
Lineage: Bacteria
Description: bacterial SSU rRNA
Rfam family: Bacterial small subunit ribosomal RNA
Source: RNAcentral